UGCGGGGUGGAGCAGUCUGGUAGCUCGUCGGGCUCAUAACCCGAAGGUCGUAGGUUCAAAUCCUUCCCCCGCUA
Molecule: transfer RNA, 74 nt
Filed under: Oceanotoga teriensis
Lineage: Bacteria; Thermotogati; Thermotogota; Thermotogae; Petrotogales; Petrotogaceae
Description: Thermotogales bacterium OCT74 tRNA
Rfam family: tRNA
About the family: Transfer RNA (tRNA) molecules are approximately 80 nucleotides in length. Their secondary structure includes four short double-helical elements and three loops (D, anti-codon, and T loops).
Source: Rfam by way of RNAcentral